GUCCCAGGUGGAGAGGAAAAGGAAGUGAAGCUGAAAAAACAUUCCAGAAAAGAAUGGCUGAAAGUUUCCCAAGUUCGACAAAGACCUGAACCUACAGAUUCAAGAAGCCGACUGAAUCUCCAGCAUAAGCCCAAAUAAAUCCAUGAUAACACACACCAUAAUCAAACUUCUGAAAACUCAAGUCAAAGAAAGAAUCGUGAAGGCAGUCGGAGAGAAAUGACACCUUUCCUGUAGGGGAACAACAGUUCAGUUGCAGCAGAUGUGAGCUGCCAGAAAGAAGUGGGACAGCAUCCAAUGAGCGAAGGAAGAUACGAAAGAAGACCAUUUAGGACUGAAGAUGAAAUGAAGACAUUCUCAAAUAAAAGAAACACUAAGUGUAUCUGUUGUCUGAAGACCUACCCUAAAAGAAUGGCCGACACAGUUGGUAGAGUGUGUGACUGGAUCUUGGGGUUGUGAGUUCGAGCCCCACGCUGGGUGUAGAGAUUACUUUUAAAAAAUGGCUGAAGGAAGUUCUUCAAACAUAAAGGAAAUGGUAAAAGAAGGAAACUUAAAACAUCAAGAAUGAAGAAAGAUAAAUGAAAAGAAUGGAAAUACAGGUAAAUGUAAUAGACUAUCCUUCCCCACUGGUAUUUUCUAAAUUAUAUUCAAUGGCCAAAGUAUAAAUUAUAACAUAUAACAUUGUCUGAUGUGGUUCUCAGUGUAUGUAGAGGAAAUAUGUAAGACAUUAUAAAAUGGAAAGUAAAGAUCUAAACAGAAGGCUUCUGUACCUCACUUGGAAGUGGCAAAAUGUCGAUACUGUGACUCAUGUAGACUGUGAUAAAUUAUGAAUGUAUAAUGAAACCCCAGAGCAGUCACUAAAAACUCUGCACAAAGAGAUACACUUGAAAACGCCAUAGAUAAAUAAAAAAUGGAAUCCUAAAAGAUGUUCAAGUAACACAAGAAGGGUGGAAAAACAGAACAGAGGAAUGAAAAAUAGAGGGAACCAACAGAAAAUAAAAUGGCAAAUGGAAACACUAAGACAUAAAUAAUUACAUCAACUGGAAAUGGCCUCAAUAAGUCAUUUAAAAGUGAGAGAUCUGAAAAACAGAAUACAAAAAUGUGACCCAGCUAUAAGCCAUCAGCAAGAAAUUCACUUCAAAUAUAAUGGCAUAGGUAGGUUGAAAGUAAAAGGAUGUAAAAGAAAUAUGCCAUACAAACAUUAAUCAAAAGACAGCAGAGUCUGCCAUCUUAAUAUUAGGUAAUAGCAGAUAAAAGAAAAUCACCCGGAAAAGAAGUUACAUUACAUAAUGAUAACAGGGUCAAACCAGGAGGAAGACAAAGUAAUCCCAAACGUAUAGGCACUAAACUGACAAAACCCAAAGGAGAAACAGGCAAAUACACUAUCAGAGUUGGAGACUUCCACACAUCUCUGAACAACUGAUAGAAAUACUAGGCAGAAAAACAACAGGAUCUGUAAGAACUUAACAAAACCAUCAGCCAAAAGGAUCUAACUGACAUUUAGAGACUACUCCAUCCAACAACAGCAAGAUACACAUUCUUUUCAAGUGCCCAUGGAAAUAUCCACCCCAAUAGACAAUACCCUAAGUAAAAAAAUCAAAACAGCAAACCACACACAACCUCAAGAGAUUUAAAAGAUUGAAAGAGAUUUAAAAUUAUACAGUAGUAUUCCCUUGACCACAGUGGAAUCAAAUAGGUCCAAGUUAGCAACAGAAAGGUGACAGGAAAAAUCUCCAAACACAUGAAAAGUAAACAACAUACUUCUAAAUAAUCUAUGGGUCAAAGUGAAAAUCUCAACGAAAUUUUUAAAAAUUUUGCUGAAUGAAAGUACAAAGUAUCAAAAUUUGUGGGGCACAGCGAACUGGAUGCUGAAAGGAAAAUUUACGGCACUAAAUGUUUACUUUCAAAGGAAGAAAGGCCUCCAACCAACAAUCUAAGCUCCUGCCUCAAACUAGAAUCAGAAGAG
This is a long non-coding RNA of Herpailurus yagouaroundi (jaguarundi), 1963 nucleotides long. RefSeq lists it as uncharacterized. The record is from RefSeq and is a predicted model, not a curated record. Lineage: Eukaryota; Metazoa; Chordata; Mammalia; Carnivora; Felidae. The transcript is spliced from 2 exons.